UAGCACCGCUCGAGCCCGCCCCUCGGGGCGGAGGCUCGGUGUUGGGGACCCGCGGGAUGGGGCUCUCGGCCCCGCCCCCCGCGGCCCUGAAAAGCAGUGGCGGCCCGUCACGGCAAGCCCCCAGCGGAGUAGAACUUUACGUCUCGCUUGGGCGCCCUGGCUGGGACAGCCUCGAACCCAAUCACUUUAUACCC
RNAcentral lists this unclassified non-coding RNA (194 nucleotides) under uncultured Hypocreales. RNAcentral describes it as "sequence contains ITS2". Lineage: Eukaryota; Fungi; Ascomycota; Sordariomycetes; Hypocreales. The record is from RNAcentral.